GCGGCAUGCCUAACACACGCAAGUCGAACGAGAAAGUUCCUUCGGGAAUGAGUAGAGUGGCGCACGGGUGAGUAAUACGUAGAUAAUCUGCCCUUUAGCUUGGGAUAACCUCUCGAAAGAGGGGCUAAUACCAAAGAGACCACAGGGACACCAGUCCUAGGGGUUAAAGGUGGGGACCGUAAGGCCUAUCACUAAAGGAUGAGUCUGCGCACUAUUAGCUUGUUGGUGGGGUAAAAGCCCACCAAGGCUGAGAUGGUUAACUGGUCUGAGAGGAUGACCAGUCACACUGGAACUGAGACACGGUCCAGACUCCUACGGGAGGCAGCAGUGGGGAAUUUUGCACAAUGGGCGAAAGCCUGAUGCAGCAAUGCCGCGUGAGGGAUGAAGGCUCUCGGGUUGUAAAUCUCUGUCGGGUGGAAAAAACGGGACGUUGGCUAACAUCCAAUGUCAUUGAUGGUACCACUAAAGGAAGGGGCGGCUAACUCUGUGCCAGCAGCCGCGGUAAUACAGAGGCCCCAAGCGUUGUUCGGAAUUACUGGGCGUAAAGAGAAUGUAGGCGGCGGCGCAAGUCAGAUGUGAAAGCCCGGGGCUCAACCCCGGAACUGCAUUUGAAACUGCGUCGCUUGAGUACGAUAGAGGAAAGUGGAAUUCCAGGUGUAGGGGUGAAAUCCGUAGAUAUCUGGAGGAAUACCAAUGGCGAAGGCAGCUUUCUGGCUCGUAACUGACGCUGAGAUUCGAAAGCGUGGGUAGCAAACAGGAUUAGAUACCCUGGUAGUCCACGCCGUAAACGAUGAGUGCUUGUCGUUGGGAGUGUUAACCCUUUCAGUGACGAAGCUAACGCGUUAAGCACUCCGCCUGGGGAGUACGGUCGCAAGAUUAAAACUCAAAGAAAUUGACGGGGACCCGCACAAGCAGUGGAGCAUGUGGUUUAAUUCGACGCAACGCGAAGAACCUUAUCCUGGUCUUGACAUCCUUGGACCGACGAUGAAAGUCGUUUUUUCCUUCGGGAACUGAGAGACAGGUGCUGCAUGGCUGUCGUCAGCUCGUGUCGUGAGAUGUUGGGUUAAGUCCCGUAACGAGCGCAACCCACGCCUCUUGUUGCCAGCAUUAAGUUGGGCACUCUAGAGGGACCGCCGGCGUCAAGCCGGAGGAAGGUGUGGACGACGUCAAGUCCUCAUGGCCCUUAUGACCAGGGCUACACACGUGCUACAAUGCAAGGUACAAAGGGCUGCCAAGCCGCGAGGUGGAGCUAAUCCCAAAAAACUUUGCUCAGUUCGGAUUGAAGUCUGCAACUCGACUUCAUGAAGCUGGAAUUGCUAGUAAUCGCAGAUCAGCAUGCUGCGGUGAAUACGUUCUCGGGUCUUGUACACACCGCCCGUCACACCACGAAAGUUGUUUGCACCAGAAGCCGCCGUGCCAACCGCAA
Molecule: ribosomal RNA, 1426 nt
Filed under: uncultured organism
Description: bacterial SSU rRNA
Rfam family: Bacterial small subunit ribosomal RNA
Source: RNAcentral